GAGGAAAGUCCGGACUCUUUUUAUAGAAAUAUAGCUGUAUAAAAUUCAGUGUAGGUAACUAUUAGGAUCGUGCCACAGAAAUAUACCGCCUUAAAAUUUAGGUAAGGGUGCAAGGGUGCGGUAAAAGCGUACCAGAAGUAUUGUUAAGAUAUUUGCUAGGUAAACCCCAUAUUAGAGCAAAGUAAUUAGUGUGUUAUUAAAAUUUACUAUAAGUUAAAACACUGAUUUAUUAAUACUGCAUGAAGUUAAUUUUAUGACUCUAGAUUAAUAAUUACCCUUGUUUGUAUAAACUUUUAUAAUGAUAAAUAUAUUUAUUCAAAGAAGAACAAAACCCGGCUUAC
Molecule: RNase P RNA, 341 nt
Filed under: Bostrychia moritziana
Lineage: Eukaryota; Rhodophyta; Florideophyceae; Ceramiales; Rhodomelaceae
Description: rnpB
Rfam family: Bacterial RNase P class A (bases 1-277)
About the family: Ribonuclease P (RNase P) is a ubiquitous endoribonuclease, found in archaea, bacteria and eukarya as well as chloroplasts and mitochondria.
Source: RNAcentral